This 519-nucleotide ribosomal RNA is filed under the name uncultured Acidobacteriaceae bacterium. Its description in RNAcentral is "bacterial SSU rRNA". It matches the Rfam family "Bacterial small subunit ribosomal RNA", at positions 117 to 668 of the family's 1533-position model. Lineage: Bacteria; Pseudomonadati; Acidobacteriota; Terriglobia; Terriglobales; Acidobacteriaceae. The record is from RNAcentral.
GUGGGGCAUCUACCUCUUAGUGGGGAAUAACUCUGGGAAACCGGAGCUAAUACCGCAUAAGCCUGGAAAGGGAAAGCAGCAAUGCGCUGAGAGAGGACCCCGCGGCCGAUUAGCUAGUUGGUGAGGUAAAGGCUCACCAAGGCGUCGAUCGGUAGCCGGCCUGAGAGGGCACACGGCCACACUGGCACUGAAACACGGGCCAGACUCCUACGGGAGGCAGCAGUGGGGAAUCUUGCACAAUGGGGGCAACCCUGAUGCAGCGACGCCGCGUGAGCGAUGAAGCCCUUCGGGGCGUAAAGCUCUUUCGGCCGGAACGAUAAUGACGGUACCGGAAGAAGAAGCUGCGGCUAACUACGUGCCAGCAGCCGCGGUAAUACGUAGGCAGCAAGCGUUGUUCGGAGUUACUGGGCGUAAAGAGUGCGUAGGCGGUUUCCUAAGUUUGGUGUGAAAUCUCCCGGCUUAACUGGGAGGGUGCGCCGAAGACUGGGGAGCUAGAGGAUGGGAGAGGCAAGCGGAAUU